AAAAAGAUAAAUCCUGGAUUUCCGUGUCCAACAUUUAACUAUCCGUCUUAUAUGAAUUUUUUUAUAAUUAGUAUUUUAAUUGUUGUUAGAUGAUAAAACAUGAUUAAUACUUUAUGCGUGACUUGUCUUUUUAUUUUUUUUUUAUAUUUUUUUAAAUAAGACGGACGGUCAAACGUUGUGCACGAAAACUCAGGGUUUGUCUUUUU
This is a non-coding RNA of Oryza glumipatula, 206 nucleotides long. The record is from Rfam. NCBI's taxonomy places the organism in Eukaryota, Viridiplantae, Streptophyta, Magnoliopsida, Poales, Poaceae.